RNAcentral lists this ribosomal RNA (491 nucleotides) under uncultured bacterium. RNAcentral describes it as "partial 16S ribosomal RNA". It matches the Rfam family "Bacterial small subunit ribosomal RNA", at positions 29 to 506 of the family's 1533-position model. The record is from RNAcentral.
AGUGAACGCUGGCGGUAGGCCUAACACAUGCAAGUCGAACGGCAGCACAGUAAGAGCUUGCUCUUACGGGUGGCGAGUGGCGGACGGGUGAGGAAUACAUCGGAAUCUACUUUUUCGUGGGGGAUAACGUAGGGAAACUUACGCUAAUACCGCAUACGACCUACGGGUGAAAGCAGGGGAUCUUCGGACCUUGCGCGAUUGAAUGAGCCGAUGUCGGAUUAGCUAGUUGGCGGGGUAAAGGCCCACCAAGGCGACGAUCCGUAGCUGGUCUGAGAGGAUGAUCGGCCACACUGGACCUGAGACCCGGUCCAGACUCCUACGGGAGGCAGCAGUGGGGAAUAUUGGACAAUGGGCGCAAGCCUGUUCCAGCCAUACCGCGUGGGUGAAGAAGGCCUUCGGGUUGUAAAGCCCUUUUGUUGGGAAAGAAAAGCAGCAGGUUAAUACCCCGCUGUUCUGACGGUACCCAAAGAAUAAGCACCGGCUAACUUCGU